UGAGGAACAUGACCUUCGGCGGGGGAUAGCCGGCCCAACGGCCGGGUAAUACCGCGUACGACCUUUCGGGGACAUCCCUGGAUGGUGAAAGCAGCAAUGCGCCGAUGGAGUGCCUCGCGGCCUAUCAGCUAGUUGGUGAGGUAACGGCUCACCAAGGCGACGACGGGUANCUGGUCUGAGAGGAUGGCCUGCCACAUUGGGACUGAGACACACGCCCAGACCUCCGUAGGGAG
RNAcentral lists this ribosomal RNA (233 nucleotides) under uncultured bacterium. RNAcentral describes it as "partial 16S ribosomal RNA". It matches the Rfam family "Bacterial small subunit ribosomal RNA", at positions 118 to 347 of the family's 1533-position model. The record is from RNAcentral.